RNAcentral lists this ribosomal RNA (458 nucleotides) under uncultured bacterium. Its description in RNAcentral is "partial 16S ribosomal RNA". It matches the Rfam family "Bacterial small subunit ribosomal RNA", at positions 338 to 795 of the family's 1533-position model. The record is from RNAcentral.
CCUACGGGGGGCAGCAGUGAGGAAUAUUGGUCAAUGGGCGAGAGCCUGAACCAGCAAAGUCGCGUGAGGGAGUACUGCCCUAUGGGUUGUAAACCUCUUUUGUCGGGGAGCAAAAGCCGGACGUGUCCGGCUGUGAGAGUACCCGACGAAAACGCAUCGGCUAACUCCGUGCAAGCAGCCGCGGUACUACGGAGGAUGCGAGCGUUAUACGGAUUUUUUGGGUUUAAAGGGUGCGCAGGCGGAUUUUUAAGUCGUCGGUCAAAUCGUGGGGCUCAACCCCAUCCAGCAGUUGAAACUGGGGAUGUAGAGUGUUCGAGAGGUAUGAGGAAUGCGUGGUGUAGCGGGGAAAUGCAUAGAUAUCACGCAGAACCCCGAUUGCGAAGGCAGCAUACCGGUGCACAACUGACGCUCAGGCACGAAAGCGUGGGUAUCGAACAGGAUUAGAGACCCGAGUAGUC